Drosophila montana is the source of this 2766-nucleotide long non-coding RNA. RefSeq lists it as uncharacterized. The transcript has 2 exons. The record is from RefSeq and is a predicted model, not a curated record. Lineage: Eukaryota; Metazoa; Arthropoda; Insecta; Diptera; Drosophilidae.
UCAAAAAGUCAUAUAGUCAUAUAGUCGGGGUAAUUACAAAAUAGUACUCGUAAGUUGGCCACUGCAUGUCAAACUGUGUCAAAUGGCAUAUUAAAAUCAAAGUCUUGAAAUGAAAAUGCUUUUAACAGCCGUGCAUUAAGUAAUCAACAUGAUAACCCCAAAAGUCGCUCGGGUAGUACAUUCUAUUGGAGCGACCGAAGCCAACUAAAACUCAAACGAAGCUGACGCUGAAACCGAAACUGAUAAUCUGUCAGGCACAGGCACAAUAUAAAUACAAAACAUGACGAAGACACCCAAGAACGUAAAGCAAAGACCGAGGAGGAAGGUCCCCCCCCCCCUACUUCGGCCCGAGUCCGAUUUAUGCAUGAAUGCGGUGGACAACGCACGCACUAACGACCAAUGCAUAAAUCAAUGAGGAGGGCUUCAGAAUCCGAAGGGGAUAUAACCAGACAAAAACUAAACGUGGAAGCCAAUGCGAAAAAUGAACUGGCACUGGCCAUAAAUGAGUAAUUGCUGACAUUGCCGUAGCCAUUGCCAUGUCCAGCAGGGGCAGAGGCAGAGGCAGAGGCAGAGGCAGAGAGAGAGAGGCUGCAGCUGAAGGAAACAAGCGGCGUUCAGGUCUGGAGUCCGUUUCCGUUUUUAGCGGAGACAACAACCCAUAAAUGUGCGCCUAGACAAAGGCCUAAAACAAACAAACAGGCAAGGCUUAGGCCGCGGCAGCAAUACUUAGUGACCAUCCAUGCCAGUGCUUGGCAUUCAAUUACAAUUACAGCCCCCAUGCCGACAACAACGGCAACAGACCGACUGGACUUCUGCAGAAAAAUGCUUGGUGUCUCUUGGCGUGUUGCUGUAUUGCUAGCUUGGAUAACUUGGAGUCUUGGGUUUGGCUUUUUGGUCUUGGUCUUGCGGCUGGCGCGGCUUCCAGGUAACGUCUCUCUAACGGUUCGCCGCGAUACUUGUUUGUAUCUCUAUAUUUCCAUCUACAACUUCAACUCCAGCUCCAACUCCCAACUUCCAACGCCCAACUCCAUCUCCGUCAGCAUUUCUAUUUGAAUCUGUUGGCGCGAUGCGCGCGUCUCAUGUUGACAAACUCACUUAACAAAUCCACAACUACUUAUACAACCCGCAGCAGUACAACAAACAGUAAUUUUUCUCGCUUCAUUGGCAUCGUCUGCCGACUGCUGACUGCCGGGAAGAAGCCUGUAAAGCGAGCAUAAGCAUAUCGGCGGUUUGUUUAGUCAACUUGCCCCGUGAAGCCGGUGCGGCGGUAGGGGACAGGGGAGAGGGUAUAUGGGCAGACUGAGAGGGGCGACUUAAAACUUGGCUGCUGCCAGUUAAGUAAACAGAGAAUUUGUAUUGUACAAAGGCCACAGACAGACACAGACACAGACACAGAUACAGAUACAGAUACAGCAGCUACUCGGCAUUGCGGCUGACCGUUGUUUGCCUUGCUCUAGAGUUCUCCAUGGCUACAGAACGUUGCCUGGGCGCGGCUGCAUCCAUAUAGGCUCUUAAUGAUACAACUAUACCAAAAUAUAUAUGCAUACAUAUAAAAAGAAAAAUGUCAUGAAAUGAAACGAAUUUCGUCUAUGCCAUCGCCACCAUCCAAUGCACAUUAUAAAAGUCCAAGAACAACACUCUGCAACAUGAUUUCAGAUUUCAUUGGGGUCAUUUCUUUCAAUUUGACUAAAUCUGAUUGUUGAAGUGGGGCCUAACUUUGAGUAUUUGCUUAUGUUUUGAAUUUUAGCCAAAUCAGGCUUGGAUUGGUUCACAAUUGCACCAAGGAACCAAAUCUUGGGCCUGUGAAGCACAUGAUUCACAAACCAAACUAAAAUUCAAACUAAUCAUGAAUCGAACUUGUGACUAUAUUUCUUUGGUUUUAUCGCCCGUCCUUAAAUACCACGAAUGGUUUUGAAUCAACAUUCUUGUGGCCUUAAUUUUGUGUGUGUGUUCUACUGUGUAUUCUGGUUGACUGAAAGAUACAAAAUUACACGCAAGCUGCGACACUUAUGCUAGACGCGACAAUAAUAUUUCUAUAGCAGAAACUUCACACUUAAUGUAUUUUGCAAAAAAAAAAAAAAAAAAAAAAAUUUAAGCAGCAAAAAAGAAAACACAUAAACAGAAAGAAAAAUAAAAAAACACGGAAAACAAAAACAAAUUGAAAAACCUCCAAAGUAGUUGCACAUGUUGCCUGAGGCGGCCCAAAUUACUUGUGGCCGAGCAGAGCCGCAGCAGAGGAGCAGCAGACGGCAACGGCGGCGACUAGUCAAUGCUUUAAGGAAUAUGGCAGCAAAUAAUUAAAACAUAUUUAAAAAUAGUUUGCCAUAUGGAUGACGACUACAACGACAACGGCAACGACAACGACAACGACGGCGACGACGACGAGGCCCGGCUGGGUAAUGGCUGUUGGCUGUUGCCUGAUGGUGACGUGGCUGGUCAGCCCCCAAGAACAACAAAAGCCAACAAUUUCGUCUGGCCAAAUGCGACGCCAACUCCGACGCAGCCGCCACCCCCACCGCCAGCAGCCGUGCCACAUUUACUAAAUACAGAUACAGAUACAGAUACAAAUGCAAUUGCAGAUACUUUUCGUCUGCCAGUCGACUUCUAACAGCCAUCCAUCUAACCAUCUAUCUAUACCAACAAUUACAACUUAUCCUCUCAUCUCGUCUGCUGCCAAGUUCAAAAUUAUAUGCUUUGCACUUUAUUUUGUUCAUGUCAAAAAGAAACAACAAAUUAAACAGAAACAGCAACAACAACAACAGCAAA